RNAcentral lists this ribosomal RNA (326 nucleotides) under uncultured prokaryote. RNAcentral describes it as "bacterial SSU rRNA". It matches the Rfam family "Bacterial small subunit ribosomal RNA", at positions 26 to 352 of the family's 1533-position model. The record is from RNAcentral.
AGAUUGAACGCUAGCGGCAUGCCUAACACAUGCAAGUCGAACGGUAACAGGCCCUUCGGGGUGCGUGACGAGUGGCGGACGGGUGAGUAAGUGCGUAGGAAUCUGCCCUGAUCGUGGGGGAUAACGUAGGGAAACUUACGCGUAAUACCGCAUACGACCGAGAGGUGAAAGCGGGGACCGAAAGGCCGUCGACGCAGCAGGAUGAGCCGAUGUCCGAUUAGCUGUUGGUGGGUAACGGCCGACCGAAGGCGACGAUCGGUAGCUGGUCUGAGNGGAUGAUCAGCCACACUGGACUGAGACACGGCCCAGACUCCUACGGAGGCAGC